UGGGAGUACGUUCGCAAGAAUUGAACUCAAAGGAAUUGACGGGGACCCGCACAAGCGUUGAAGCAUGUGUUUUAUUCGAAGCAACGNGAAGAACCUUACCAGGCCUUGACAUCCCGGUGACAGAGCAUGUAAUGUGCUUUCCUUCGGGGCAGCGGAGACAGGUGGUGCAUGGUUGUCGUCAGCUCGUGUCGUGAGAUGUUGGGUUAAGUCCCGCAACGAGCGCAACCCCUGUCCCCAGUAGCCAGCAGGUAAAGCUGGGCACUCUGGGGAGACUGCCGGGGACAACCCGGAGGAAGGCGGGGAUGACGUCAAAUCAUCAUGCCCCUUAUGGCCUGGGCUACACACGUGCUACAAUGGCGCAGACAGAGGGAGGCGAAGCCGCGAGGCGGAGCAAACNCCCAGAAAUGGCGCCCCAGUUCGGACUGCAGCCUGCAACCCGGCUGCACGAAGCCGGAAUCGCUAGUAAUCGCAGAUCAGAAUGCUGCGGUGAAUACGUUCCCGGGUCUUGUACACACCGCCCGUCACACCAUGGGAGUCGGAAAUGCCCGAAGUCAGUGGCCCAACCGCAAGGAGGGAGCUGCCGAAGGCAGGUCCGGUGACUGGGGUGAAGUCGUAACAAGG
Molecule: ribosomal RNA, 621 nt
Filed under: uncultured bacterium
Lineage: Bacteria
Description: bacterial SSU rRNA
Rfam family: Bacterial small subunit ribosomal RNA
Source: RNAcentral